UUAAAAUUGUUGCAGUUAAAACGCUCGUAGUUGAAUUUCAAAGAGUCAUGGCGUUUCUGAGGUGCUCCUUGGUCGAUCUGCCCAGCACUGACUCUAUGAUUUUAUUGUAGAGCAGUGUGACUGGGUGUUCGAUUUCAAGAAAGUGUCUCCUUUACAAAGUGAUUUUUCUAAGGGUCUCUUGAGUACCAGUCCUUGGGAGGUUCUUUUUACCUUGAGUAAAUUAGAGUGUUUAAAGCAAACAGAUAGAACAAUUUACUGUGUUUAAAUACUACAGCAUGGAAUAAUAAUAUCGAAUGAGCCGACGUACUUUUCGUUUCUUUGUUAUUUUGGCUUAGUUACGAUUAACAGGAAUAGUUGGGGGCAUUUGUAUUCAGAUGUCAGAGGUGAAAUUCUAAGAUUAUCUGGAGACGAACAAUUGCGAAAGCAUCUGUCUAACAUAUUUUCAUUAAUCAAGAACGAAAGUUAAGGGAGUGAAGACGAUCAGAUACCGUCGUAAUCUUAACCAUAAACUAUGCCAACUAUGUUUUGGAUGUAUGAGAAAAAGAUGGAAUACUUUGUUUUACGACAUUGUCAUUCCAUUUAUGCUUCAUUCGGUACCUUAGAGAAAUCAAAGUCUUUGGGUUCUGGGGCGAGUAUUCGCGCAAGCGAGAAAGUUAAAAGAAUUGACGGAAGGGCACCACCAGACGUGGAGCUUGCGGCUUAAUUUGACUCAACACGGGAAAACUCACUAGUAUAAGACAAGAGUAGGAUUGACAGAUUAAUAGCUCUUUCUUGAUUUCUUGGAUGGUGAUGCAUGGCCGUUUUUAGUUCGUGAGUAUGAUUUGUCUGGUUAAUUCCGAUAACGAACGAGACCUUAACCUGCUAGUUAGCGGCCGGUAUGUCGCGAAUUUAUCAAAAUCUUAUCUCGUAGGCUGGAUUAUUUUUAGAAGAUAUGACGGAUAACCGAGUCGAGUGUCGUCCCCAUCACUGUUCUAUUAAUUCGCAGUCUGUCCUGGUUUUUUUUUAGGUAAGUAUGUAUCCGCUUGAAUGUAAGCUUCUUAGAGGUACGAUGUGUGCUUAACACAAGGAAGUUUAAGGCAACAACAGG
RNAcentral lists this ribosomal RNA (1087 nucleotides) under Plasmodium ovale (malaria parasite P. ovale). RNAcentral describes it as "SSU rRNA". It matches the Rfam family "Eukaryotic small subunit ribosomal RNA", at positions 604 to 1460 of the family's 1831-position model. Lineage: Eukaryota; Apicomplexa; Aconoidasida; Haemosporida; Plasmodiidae. The record is from RNAcentral.